This 764-nucleotide long non-coding RNA is filed under the name Physcomitrium patens. RNAcentral's name for it is "long non-coding RNA (PPAT_LNC012324)". The record is from RNAcentral. Lineage: Eukaryota; Viridiplantae; Streptophyta; Bryopsida; Funariales; Funariaceae.
CAGGGUCAAAAUCAAACCUCUAGCUACUAAAAUGAGUGCCUAGGGCAAAAUAAGGAUUCAUUCAUAGAUUGGAGAUUAGGAUUUGAGAGCGAGGUUAGAGCUUGUUCCAGAGACAUAAGAUUGGUUUUGGUAGAGUUUGGAAAGAGUUAGCAAUUAUUGUUGGAAAUCAAGAUUUAUAUUGGCAACUUAGAAUUUAUACAAUGAAAUUAGGGCUAGUACUCUUGGCUAUUUCGUAAAAUUGAUGUCACAUCAACAAUUCAAAUUUUGGAAAUGCUUGUAUAAUUAGGUGUUCUAAGUGUAUGUGAAAUUUUGUAAUAAUCCAACGAUGCAAUUGAAAGAUAUUUGAAUUUUGAUACAAGUAUGUAUCGGAAGUUGGCAGUUUGGGAUUGGGUAGGAUUUCUAUGAUAUUUGAAGAUCUACUAGUCGGAUCAAGGUGAAAUUUGGCAUGGUAUUAAAAGACUUGAAGAUCAAGUUUCAAACCAAUUUUGACUCAAAGUUAAUAAUUGAAGAAGGAGAAAUCAUUGCUAGAAUUUUUGCUUCACCUUUCAAGUUGGCAGCCAAGUGACAUUAGUGUAGUUUUUGGAGGUUUUUUCACAAUUUGUAAGUUGGAUUGGGCUGAAAAUUCUUGAGCAUAUAGAAGACUUACAUUGACAAUUGUAUGCAAAAUUUUACAUUAAGUAGACGAUCAAAUUAGAAGUUACAGCUUAUCAAAGCUCACUAAUUAGGGUUGGAACUUAUAAGAAAAAUCUAAAUUGCUUGAAUAU